RNAcentral lists this ribosomal RNA (255 nucleotides) under uncultured bacterium. RNAcentral describes it as "partial 16S ribosomal RNA". It matches the Rfam family "Bacterial small subunit ribosomal RNA", at positions 524 to 776 of the family's 1533-position model. The record is from RNAcentral.
UACGAGGGGCGAGCGUUGCUCGGAAUGACUGGGCGUAAAGGGCGCGUAGGCGGAUGGCUUUGUCGGGCGUGAAAUCCCUGGGCUCAACCCAGGAACUGCACUCGAAACUACUAUUCUUGAGUGUCGGAGAGGAAAGCGGAAUUCCUGGUGUAGAGGUGAAAUUCGUAGAUAUCAGGAGGAACACCAGUGGCGAAGGCGGCUUGCCCAGAACGCGCUCGAACGGGUGAGGGAUGGAAAGCUGGGGGAGCAAACCGG